CUACGGGACGCACCAGUGGGGAAUAUUGGACAAUGGGGGAAACCCUGAUCCAGCAAUGCCGCGUGUGUGAAGAAGGCCUGCGGGUUGUAAAGCACUUUCGGUUGGGAGGACUGCUUCUAGCACUAAUAUUGUUGGAAGUUGACGUUACCUUCAGAAGAAGCACCGGCUAACUCCGUGCCAGCAGCCGCGGUAAUACGGAGGGUGCAAGCGGUAAUCGGAAUUACUGGGCGUAAAGCGCGCGUAGGCGGCUAGAUCAGUCGGGUGUGAAAGCCCCGGGCUUAACCUGGGAACUGCAUCCGAUACUGUCGAGCUUGAGUACAGGAGAGGAGAGUGGAAUUCCACAUGUAGCGGUGAAAUGCGUAGAUAUGUGGAGGAACACCAAUGGCGAAGGCAGCUCUCUGGCCUGAUACUGACGCUGAGGUGCGAAAGCGUGGGGAGCAAACAGGAUUAGAUACCCCAGUACUC
Molecule: ribosomal RNA, 465 nt
Filed under: uncultured bacterium
Lineage: Bacteria
Description: partial 16S ribosomal RNA
Rfam family: Bacterial small subunit ribosomal RNA
Source: RNAcentral